CUACGGGGGGCAGCAGUGAGGAAUAUUGCACAAUGGGGGGAACCCUGAUGCAGCAACGCCGCGUGGAGGAUGACGCAUUUCGGUGUGUAAACUCCUUUUAUAUGUCAAGAAAAUGACGGUAGCAUAUGAAUAAGCGCCGGCUAACUCCGUGCCAGCAGCCGCGGUAAUACGGAGGGCGCAAGCGUUACUCGGAAUCACGGGGCGUAAAGGACGCGUAGGCGGGUUGAAAAGUCAGGUGUGAAAGCCUACAGCUUAACUGUAGAACUGCACUUGAAACUCUCAAUCUAGAGUAUGUGAGGGGCAGAUGGAAUUAGUGGUGUAGGGGUAAAAUCCGUAGAUAUCACUAGGAAUACCUAAAGCGAAGGCGAUCUGCUGGAACAUUACUGACGCUAAGGCGUGAAAGCGUGGGGAGCAAACAGGAUUAGAUACCCCCGUAGUC
Molecule: ribosomal RNA, 439 nt
Filed under: uncultured bacterium
Lineage: Bacteria
Description: partial 16S ribosomal RNA
Rfam family: Bacterial small subunit ribosomal RNA
Source: RNAcentral